RNAcentral lists this non-coding RNA (49 nucleotides) under Alcanivorax borkumensis. Its description in RNAcentral is "Guanidine-II sequence". It matches the Rfam family "Guanidine-II riboswitch aptamer (mini-ykkC)". From Rfam's summary of the family: Simpler in structure and has fewer highly conserved nucleotide positions than the ykkC-yxkD leader. Despite this each of its two stem-loop structures directly bind free guanidine. Therefore, mini-ykkC RNA motif represents a distinct class of guanidine-sensing RNAs. The record is from RNAcentral. RNAcentral also lists the same sequence under 1 other name. Lineage: Bacteria; Pseudomonadati; Pseudomonadota; Gammaproteobacteria; Oceanospirillales; Alcanivoracaceae.
CCCUGGGGACGACCCCGGCGGCCAAGGCUAUAAAGACGGGACGGCCCGU